Molecule: ribosomal RNA, 2154 nt
Filed under: Plenodomus biglobosus/Leptosphaeria biglobosa 'brassicae' group
Lineage: Eukaryota; Fungi; Ascomycota; Dothideomycetes; Pleosporales; Leptosphaeriaceae
Description: eukaryotic LSU rRNA
Rfam family: Eukaryotic large subunit ribosomal RNA
Source: RNAcentral
CAUUUGCUCUUAAUGGACUGGGGGCACUCCGGGCUGAACCGGAACUCCGGGGUCCACGCUCCAGAAUGCACGGCGCACACCAAAGGUGUUAGUUCAUCCACGGACGGGUGCGAUGGAAGUGCGCAUCCGCUAAGGAGUGUAACAACUCACCUGCCGAAUGAACUAGCCCUGAAAAUGGAUGGCGCUCAAGCGUGUUACCCAUACCCCGCCCUCGGCAAUUAAGCCCCGGCGCGGCAGGCGUGGAGGCUCGUGACGAAGCCUUGGGGUGGAGCGCGAACGGCCUCUAGUGCAAUGUAAUACAUGGCCUGGCGAGGUGUCCGGCAAAUGGAAAGGGAUUUAAUUCAACCGUGUGGGACGAUGCGUAGAACAGCAGGUCGACGGGGUUCUACGUUCACUGGUUUGCAGCGCGCUUGCGCCUCGAAGGGAAGCCCCGGUUAAUAUUUUAAGCUGGAUGUAGAUUCGCGGCAACGCAAUGGAGCGGAGACCUUGGCGGGAGCGCAGAAGAGUUCUCUUUCUUAACGGUCUGUCACCCUGAAUGGUUUGUCCGGAGCGCCAUUCAAUGGCCGGAAGAGCCUGCACUUUGCGGCGUUAUCCGCUCCCGACAGGUGCUAUUGAAAAUCGCUUAAGAAAUAGUUUUACGCCAGGUCGUACUCAUAACGCAGCAGGUCUCCAAGGUGAAAAGCCCUCGUGAUAGAACAAUGUAGAUAAGGGAAGUCGGCAAAAGUAAUGCGUAACCUUCGGGAAAGGAUUGGCUCUAAGGGUUGGGUACGUUGGGCCUGUGGGGAAAGGCCUCUGGCGCAGAAGGCACUAGCCAAUGGCGCCUUUCAGCGCUGGGGGUGCGGACACCCUUGUGGCAGCUUCGGCCGUCCGGCGUACGUCAACAUACAAUCGGAACUCUAAUAGGACAAGGGGAAUCUGACUGUCUAAUAUUAAACAUAGCAUUGCGAUGGCCAGAAAGUGUUGACGCAAUGUACUUCUGCCAGUGCUCUGGAUCAACCGAAGAGAUUCGACCGGCGCAGACGGGCGGGAGUAACUAUAGUAACUCUUAAGGUAGCCAAAUGCUCGUCAUCUAAUGCUGACACGCGCAUGAAUGGAUUAACGAGAUUCCCACUGUCCCUAUCAUUACCCUCCGAACCACAGCCAAGGGAACGGGCUUACAAAUCAGCGGGGAAAGAAGACCCUGUUGAGCUUAUGACUAGUUUGACAUUGUGAAAGACAUAGGGGUGUGAAUAGGUGGGAAUUCGUGCCGGUGAAAUACCACUCAUUGUAUCCGUUUUACUUAUUCGGAUGGCAAAUGGAGCUGGGCCUCACCGCCAACUUCCGCGUUUAAGUCCUUCGUGGGCUGAUCCGGGUUGAAGACAUUGUCGGCUGGGGAGUUUGGAUGGGGCGGCACAAUGAGGAGCGUUAAACCAUAACGCAGGUGUCCUAAGGGGACUCCAUGGAGAACUCUUGCAAUCUCCAGUAGAGCAAAGGGCAAAGUCCCCUUGAUUUUGAUUUUCAGUGUGAAUACAACCAUGAAAGUGGCCUAUCGAUCCUUUAGUCCCUCGAAAUUUGAGGCCUAGAGGUGCCAGAAAAGUUACCACAGGGAUAACUGGCUUGGCAGCCAAGCGUUCACCCGGCGCGACGUUGCUUUUGAUCCUUCGAUGUCGGCUCUUCCUAUCAUACCGAAGCAGAAUUCGGUAAGCGUUGGAUUGUUCUACCCACUAAUAGGGAACGUGAGCUGGGUUUAGACCGUCGUGAGACAGGUUAGUUUACCCUACUGGAUGACCUCUUGCCCGUAAUGGUAAUACCGCUUAGUACGAGAAACCGCGGUUUCAGAUAAUUGGUUUUGCGGCCUGUCUGACCAGGCAUUGCCGCGAAGCCCAUCUGCUGGAUUAUGAUGAACGCCUCUAAGUCAGAAAAUGCCAGAGCUGACGGGGUGAUUUCCGCCUGCACCAGUCUGGAUACGAAUAGGCCUUUGGCCCAGAAACCUUACGCAGAUCGGCGUCAGCCCAUUGAAGUUGGAGUCCCUCUCGCUAGCUGUAUGCAAUUGUACAGUGCGCAGGAUUGAAUCCUUUGCAGACGACUGCUUGUCUAGCUAGGUCGUGUAAGUAGUUAAGUAGCCUUGUUGUUACGAGCUACUAAGCGUAAGCCCGUAGCUUAGUUAAAAUUAGG